RNAcentral lists this ribosomal RNA (755 nucleotides) under Halobacillus sp. JC181. RNAcentral's name for it is "bacterial SSU rRNA". It matches the Rfam family "Bacterial small subunit ribosomal RNA", at positions 1 to 758 of the family's 1533-position model. Lineage: Bacteria; Bacillati; Bacillota; Bacilli; Caryophanales; Bacillaceae. The record is from RNAcentral.
ACUAUGAUGCGCUGCUAUAAUGCAGUCGAGCGCGGGAAGCGAGCUGAUCCCUUCGGGGUGACGCUCGUGGAACGAGCGGCGGACGGGUGAGUAACACGUGGGCAACCUGCCUGUAAGAUCGGGAUAACUCCGGGAAACCGGGGCUAAUACCGGGUAAUACUUUCUUUCGCAUGAAGGAAAGUUGAAAGAUGGCUUCUCGCUAUCACUUACAGAUGGGCCCGCGGCGCAUUAGCUAGUUGGUGAGGUAACGGCUCACCAAGGCGACGAUGCGUAGCCGACCUGAGAGGGUGAUCGGCCACACUGGGACUGAGACACGGCCCAGACUCCUACGGGAGGCAGCAGUAGGGAAUCUUCCGCAAUGGACGAAAGUCUGACGGAGCAACGCCGCGUGAACGAUGAAGGUCUUCGGAUCGUAAAGUUCUGUUGUUAGGGAAGAACAAGUACCGUGCGAAUAGAGCGGUACCUUGACGGUACCUAACGAGGAAGCCCCGGCUAACUACGUGCCAGCAGCCGCGGUAAUACGUAGGGGGCAAGCGUUGUCCGGAAUUAUUGGGCGUAAAGCGCGCGCAGGCGGUUCCUUAAGUCUGAUGUGAAAGCCCACGGCUCAACCGUGGAGGGUCAUUGGAAACUGGGGAACUUGAGGACAGAAGAGGAGAGUGGAAUUCCACGUGUAGCGGUGAAAUGCGUAGAUAUGUGGAGGAACACCAGUGGCGAAGGCGACUCUCUGGGUCUGUUUCUGACGCUGAGGUGCGAAA